CCGCCAUCUACAUACCGAGCCUGGAUCAUUUGCUCGAUACACAAACACAGACGCCAAGCCGGAGUGCGUCAUAACUCAGUAUGCAAACACGACCCAAGGUGGCCACACGAACCUCUCGCACCCUCCCCCCUUUUCCUUCCUUUCCUCACCCCCCAUUUCCCUGUCUCUCUCUCUCCUUCUCUCACCUUUUCUCUCUUCCUUCUUCUUUUCCUCUUUUGCUUCACGUCCAGUUUGCUCACCCGCCAUACUUGUUUCCCUUCUCUUAUCUCCCUCGUUUUAUUCUAUUUGCUUCAGUCACUGCUUUCAUCACCCUUAUCCUUCUCUUAUGUCUCUUUUACCAUACUUUUCCUACAAUCCAUUUAUGCUUUUUCAAUUUUUUCUUGCAGUAGCUUUUCACUUUCCUCACUAUAUUACUUUCUCCUGUGUCAAAAUGUAUGUUUUUUUCUGUUAUCUCCUGUUUUAUCUCCUCUCUUAUGUAUUCUUUCUGUUCCUUACUCCUCUGUUUUCUAAUCUAAUUCAUCCUCCAUUUUUCCCUGUCCGUUUUCCAUUCUCUAUCUUCCGUCCUUGUCGAUCUAAAUAUCCUUUUUUUCAGCUUUCUUGUCUCUCCGGUUUAUUUUCAUCAACCAACCUUACUUCCCAUCCUCUUCUACUCGUCAUCCACUCCCACAGUUGCCUAUCUUCAGUUUUCUUCAUCAACUCCUCAUUUCCCCAACGUCCUCUUCGUAUAAACAUCAUUUUCUCUUAUUCUUCUUUUCCUUGUGUCUGUAAUCCUCUCCCACCCUUGUUUUCUCAAGAGUCCCUCCCACAGUGCAAGAACCAGCCGAUAAUGUGCUUGACACCUGCCUCCCGCCACUCACACGGAGCCCUCAGGCCCUGUCGAAGCACCGCGGCGCUCACCGGCAACACUGUCCAGACGCAGGCACGGGGUGACGGGGCGACUGACACAGUUGGUGAAACGUGACCAGAUGCCUUUGCCACUGCUCUCCCUGUGAAAGUCACAGAUCUGGGUGAGGAGAGCCUUGAAGAAGGGUGUCUGGCUGGGGGGCAAGCGUUCCUUGAACCUAGCUAAUAUUUCCUGAGUACUGGCUUGCCCAUCAACUUCUGCUUGGAAUGCCACAAAGUUCCUGAUGUCUGCUACCUGAGCGUCUGUGGAGGGGUUCCAGUCAGGGUCAAAAAUUAUGACGCGAUCAGCACCAGUCAGGUUCACUCCAAGGCCGCCAACACGGGUGGUGAGGAGGAACACAAAGUAGGAUGAGUCAGUGUUGAACUUCUCGAUCAAAG
Molecule: long non-coding RNA, 1281 nt
Organism: Eriocheir sinensis (Chinese mitten crab)
Lineage: Eukaryota; Metazoa; Arthropoda; Malacostraca; Decapoda; Varunidae
Exons: 4
Source: RefSeq, a predicted model, not a curated record